GGGAGGGGGGGCAAGCGUUAUUCGGAAUUAUUGGGCGUAAAGGGCGCGUAGGCGGGCUUGGGUAGGUCAAAGGGUGAAAUCCCUCAGCUCAACUGAGGAACUGCCUUUGAAACCACCUGGCUAGAGGCUGGGAGGGGGUAGCGGAAUUCCAGGUGUAGCGGUGAAAUGCGUAGAUAUCUGGAGGAACACCGGUGGCGAAGGCGGCUACCUGGACCAGUUCUGACGCUGAGGCGCGAAAGCGUGGGGAGCAAACAGGAUUAGAUACCCUGGUAGUCCACGCUGUAAACGAUGGGCACUCGGUGCCGCGGGUGUUGACCCCUGCGGUGCCUUAGCUAACGCGUUAAGUGCCCCGCCUGGGGAGUACGGUCGCAAAGGCUG
RNAcentral lists this ribosomal RNA (378 nucleotides) under uncultured organism. RNAcentral's name for it is "partial 16S ribosomal RNA". It matches the Rfam family "Bacterial small subunit ribosomal RNA", at positions 524 to 896 of the family's 1533-position model. The record is from RNAcentral.